UUGGGCCUGAUUUGGAAUGUUAUAGUUUAUACUUACCGAGGAAGCCACCCUUGCUUUCAGGAUGGAUUGUUAGCAGUUCCGUUGGCCUCAGACACCAACUUGAACUGAUCGUCUUGGACAUGUGAGAAUGUUACACUUACUGUGUGAUGUUUCUGCCCAUCCUCGUCCUUUCUUCGCUCUUGAUCAUCAGUGUGAUUGAUGUGUCUCCAGUGAAAAUCUGUGACUUUGACUUGGGCAGUGGGAUGAAACUGAACAACUCCUGUACCCCCAUAACCACACCAGAGCUGACCACCCCAUGUGGCUCUGCAGAAUACAUGGCCCCUGAGGUAGUGGAGGUCUUCACGGACCAGGCCACAUUCUACGACAAGCGCUGUGACCUGUGGAGCCUGGGCGUGGUCCUCUACAUCAUGCUGAGUGGCUACCCGCCCUUCGUGGGUCACUGCGGGGCUGACUGUGGCUGGGACCGGGGCGAGGUCUGCAGGGUGUGCCAGAACAAGCUGUUUGAAAGCAUCCAGGAAGGCAAGUAUGAGUUUCCUGACAAGGACUGGGCACACAUCUCCAG
This 562-nucleotide small RNA is filed under the name Pan troglodytes (chimpanzee). RNAcentral describes it as "processed transcript". The record is from RNAcentral. Lineage: Eukaryota; Metazoa; Chordata; Mammalia; Primates; Hominidae.